Molecule: ribosomal RNA, 465 nt
Filed under: uncultured bacterium
Lineage: Bacteria
Description: partial 16S ribosomal RNA
Rfam family: Bacterial small subunit ribosomal RNA
Source: RNAcentral
GACGAACGCUGGCGGCGUGCUUAACACAUGCAAGUCGAACGGAAAGGCCCUGCUUGCAGGGUACUCUAGUGGCGAACGGGUGAGUAACACGUGUGUGUUCUGCCCUCCACUUCGUGAUAAGCCUUGGAGACUGGGUCUAUUAUCGGAUAUGAGCCAUCCUUCGUGUUAUGGUUGGAUAGUUUUUUGGGUGUGGGAUGAGAUCGCGGCCUAUUUGCUUGUUGGUGGGGUAAUUGCCUACCAAGGCGGCGACGGGUAGCCGGCCUGGGGGGGUGGACGGCCACAAUGGGGAUGAGAAAAGGCCCAGAAGCCGACGGGGGGGAGGAGGGGGGGAUAAUGCACAAAGGGGGGGAGCCCGAUGGAGCGAAGCCGGGGGGGGGAAGGCGGGCUUCGGGUUGGAAAAGCGUUUCGCUAGGGAAGGAGCUUUUUGUGACGGUACCUAGAUAAGAAGCACCGGCUAACUACGUG